AUACUACUCGGCUAUAAAAAAUGGUGACUUCACCGUUUUCAGUCGAUCUUGGAUGGACCUACCCCUGCGAUUUCCCCAAAUGUGGGAAACUCUACUGCAUAAUUUGCGGUAGUGGGAGACUGCAUUCGUGCUCUCCCCUA
Molecule: small nuclear RNA, 140 nt
Filed under: Erinaceus europaeus (western European hedgehog)
Lineage: Eukaryota; Metazoa; Chordata; Mammalia; Eulipotyphla; Erinaceidae
Description: U1 spliceosomal RNA (ENSEEUG00000023493.1)
Rfam family: U1 spliceosomal RNA
About the family: U1 is a small nuclear RNA (snRNA) component of the spliceosome (involved in pre-mRNA splicing). Its 5' end forms complementary base pairs with the 5' splice junction, thus defining the 5' donor site of an intron. There are significant differences in sequence and secondary structure between metazoan and yeast U1 snRNAs, the latter being much longer (568 nucleotides as compared to 164 nucleotides in human).
Source: RNAcentral